UAUUAAUAAUAAUAAUAAUAAUAAUAAUGAUAAUAACGAUAAUGAUAAUAGUCGUAAGAAACCGAACAUCGAACGCGCCUCCGUGUUGCGUACGCGACGCAGCCGUGUGCGGACGAUCGUGUGCGCCUGCUAGCGAGCCGGUCGUACGUAUUAUUGUUAUUAUUAUUAUUAUUGUUAUUAUUGUUA
Molecule: non-coding RNA, 186 nt
Organism: Cinara cedri
Lineage: Eukaryota; Metazoa; Arthropoda; Insecta; Hemiptera; Aphididae
Source: the annotation of a GenBank genome assembly